RNAcentral lists this ribosomal RNA (411 nucleotides) under uncultured bacterium. Its description in RNAcentral is "partial 16S ribosomal RNA". It matches the Rfam family "Bacterial small subunit ribosomal RNA", at positions 355 to 783 of the family's 1533-position model. The record is from RNAcentral.
UGGGGAAUAUUGGACAAUGGGGGCAACCCUGAUCCAGCAAUGCCGCGUGUGUGAAGAAGGUCUUCGGAUUGUAAAGCACUUUCGACGGGGACGAUGAUGACGGUACCCGUAGAAGAAGCCCCGGCUAACUUCGUGCCAGCAGCCGCGGUAAUACGAAGGGGGCUAGCGUUGCUCGGAAUGACUGGGCGUAAAGGGCGUGUAGGCGGUUUACACAGUCAGAUGUGAAAUCCCCGGGCUUAACCUGGGAGCUGCAUUUGAUACGUGUAGACUAGAGUGUGAGAGAGGGUUGUGGAAUUCCCAGUGUAGAGGUGAAAUUCGUAGAUAUUGGGAAGAACACCGGUGGCGAAGGCGGCAACCUGGCUCAUGACUGACGCUGAGGCGCGAAAGCGUGGGGAGCAAACAGGAUUAGAU